GCUGGGCGUGGUGGCACAUGCCUGUAGUCCCAGCUAUUCGGGAGGCUGAGGCUGUAGGAUCUCUUGAGCCCAGGAGUUCUGGGCUGCAGUGUGCUAUGCUGAUCGUGUGUCUGCACUAAGUUCGGCAUCAAUAUGGUGACCUCCUGGGAGCGGGGGACCAUCAGGUUGCCUAAGGAGGGGUGAACCGGCCCAGGUCGGAAACAGAGCAGGUCAAAAUUCCCUCGCUGAUCAGUAGUGGGAUCGCUCCUGUGAAUAGCCACUGCACUCCAGCCUGGGUAACAUAGGGAGACCCUGUCUCU
Molecule: unclassified non-coding RNA, 299 nt
Organism: Aotus nancymaae (Ma's night monkey)
Lineage: Eukaryota; Metazoa; Chordata; Mammalia; Primates; Aotidae
Rfam family: Metazoan signal recognition particle RNA
About the family: The signal recognition particle (SRP) is a universally conserved ribonucleoprotein. It is involved in the co-translational targeting of proteins to membranes. The eukaryotic SRP consists of a 300-nucleotide 7S RNA and six proteins: SRPs 72, 68, 54, 19, 14, and 9.
Source: Ensembl